UUUCCUUGUUCUUUCCGCCUAUAUACCGCCGUCCGUCCAGUUUACCCUAUGAAGGCCUAAUAGUAAGCAAAAUCGGUACAACCCAAAACGUCAGGUCGAGGUGUAGCGUAUGGAAGGGGAAGAAAUGGGCUACAUUCCCUAUUAUAGGGUAUACGAAUGAUUUCGCUGAAAUGCAUUUCUGAAGGAGGAUUUAGCAGUAAGCAGGAAGUAGAGUGUCUUGCUGAAACCGGCUCUGAAGCGUGCACACACCGCCCGUCACUCUCCCCAAGCUAAUACAUUUAAAUAAUUAAAACGCCAUAACUGCAAAGGGGAGGCAAGUCGUAACAUGGUAAGUGUACCGGAAGGUGUACUUGGAAUAAUAUAUAA
This 366-nucleotide ribosomal RNA is filed under the name Pomacanthus semicirculatus (semicircle angelfish). Its description in RNAcentral is "partial 12S ribosomal RNA". It matches the Rfam family "Bacterial small subunit ribosomal RNA", at positions 1021 to 1533 of the family's 1533-position model. The record is from RNAcentral. Lineage: Eukaryota; Metazoa; Chordata; Actinopteri; Pomacanthidae.